ACAGGGAUUGCCCUAGUAACGGCGAGUGAAGCGGCAACAGCUCAAAUUUGAAAUCUGGCGUCUUCGGCGUCCGAGUUGUAAUUUGCAGAGGGCGCUUUGGCAUUGGCAGCGGUCCAAGUUCCUUGGAACAGGACGUCACAGAGGGUGAGAAUCCCGUACGUGGUCGCUAGCCUUUACCGUGUAAAGCCCCUUCGACGAGUCGAGUUGUUUGGGAAUGCAGCUCUAAAUGGGAGGUAAAUUUCUUCUAAAGCUAAAUACUGGCCAGAGACCGAUAGCGCACAAGUAGAGUGAUCGAAAGAUGAAAAGCACUUUGGAAAGAGAGUUAAAAAGCACGUGAAAUUGUUGAAAGGGAAGCGCUUGCAGCCAGACUUGCCUGUAGUUGCUCAUCCGGGUUUUUACCCGGUGCACUCUUCUAUAGGCAGGCCAGCAUCAGUUUGGGCGGUUGGAUAAAGGUCUCUGUCAUGUACCUCUCUUCGGGGAGAACUUAUAGGGGAGACGACAUGCAACCAGCCUGGACUGAGGUCCGCGCAUCUGCUAGGAUGCUGGCGUAAUGGCUGUAAGCGGCCCGUCUUGAAACACGGACCAAGGAGUCUAACAUCUAUGCGAGUGUUUGGGUGUCAAGCCCGAGCGCGUAAUGAAAGUGAACGGAGGUGGGAACCUUUCGGGGUGCACCAUCGACCGAUCCUGAUGUCUUCGGAUGGAUUUGAGUAAGAGCAUAGCUGUUGGGACCCGAAAGAUGGUGAACUAUGCUUGAAUAGGGUGAAGCCAGAGGAAACUCUGGUGGAGGCUCGCAGCGGUUCUGACGUGCAAAUCGAUCGUCAAAUUUGGGCAUAGGGGCGAAAGACUAAUCGAACUAUCUAGUAGCUGGUUCCUGCCGA
This 878-nucleotide ribosomal RNA is filed under the name Didymella glomerata. Its description in RNAcentral is "partial large subunit ribosomal RNA". It matches the Rfam family "Eukaryotic large subunit ribosomal RNA", at positions 68 to 964 of the family's 3401-position model. The record is from RNAcentral. Lineage: Eukaryota; Fungi; Ascomycota; Dothideomycetes; Pleosporales; Didymellaceae.